RNAcentral lists this ribosomal RNA (301 nucleotides) under uncultured bacterium. Its description in RNAcentral is "partial 16S ribosomal RNA". It matches the Rfam family "Bacterial small subunit ribosomal RNA", at positions 509 to 807 of the family's 1533-position model. The record is from RNAcentral.
CAGCCGCCGCGGGAAUACAGAGGGUGCGAGCGUUAAUCGGAUUUACUGGGCGUAAAGCGUGCGUAGGCGGCUAAUUAAGUCGGAUGUGAAAUCCCCGAGCUUAACUUGGGAAUUGCAUUCGAUACUGGUUAGCUAGAGUGUGGGAGAGGAUGGUAGAAUUCCAGGUGUAGCGGUGAAAUGCGUAGAGAUCUGGAGGAAUACCGAUGGCGAAGGCAGCCAUCUGGCCUAAUACUGACGCUGAGGUACGAAAGCAUGGGGAGCAAACAGGAUUAGAUACCCCAGUAGUCCCUGUCUCUUAUAC